Molecule: ribosomal RNA, 451 nt
Filed under: uncultured bacterium
Lineage: Bacteria
Description: bacterial SSU rRNA
Rfam family: Bacterial small subunit ribosomal RNA
Source: RNAcentral
CCCAGACUCCUACGGGAGGCAGCAGUGGGGAAUAUUGGGCAAUGGGCGCAAGCCUGACCCAGCAACGCCGCGUGAAGGAAGAAGGCCCUCGGGUUGUAAACUUCUUUUAUCAAGGACGAAACAAAUGACGGUACUUGAUGAAUAAGCCACGGCUAACUACGUGCCAGCAGCCGCGGUAAUACGUAGGUGGCAAGCGUUGUCCGGAUUUACUGGGUGUAAAGGGCGUGCAGCCGGGAAGACAAGUCAGAUGUGAAAUCCCGCGGCUCAACCGCGGAACUGCAUUUGAAACUGUUUUUCUUGAGUACCGGAGAGGUCAUCGGAAUUCCUUGUGUAGCGGUGAAAUGCGUAGAUAUAAGGAAGAACACCAGUGGCGAAGGCGGAUGACUGGACGGCAACUGACGGUGAGGCGCGAAAGCGUGGGGAGCAAACAGGAUUAGAUACCCCAGUAAGA